Molecule: non-coding RNA, 1240 nt
Organism: Arachis ipaensis
Lineage: Eukaryota; Viridiplantae; Streptophyta; Magnoliopsida; Fabales; Fabaceae
Source: RefSeq, a predicted model, not a curated record
ACAUGUCACUACAACAGAUACGGAGAAUGGCGGCAAAAAAUUGGCGGCCAUUUAUAAACCCGCCGCAGAUUGGCAGGAUAGCGGCAGUUGUCGUAGCGGUUUGAUAACUGCACCAAAAUUAAAUAGCAUAGCGGCGGUGACACGUCCCAACUGCUGGAAAGCAACACAGUGAUAUAUAUAACAAAUUAACAUAGCGCGUUCAUAGAAUAUUUUUUUGCAUGAAGUCAAUUAUGCAGGGGCGCGAACCACUUCUCUGGGAGUCCUUGCCGCCGUGGUGCUCCCCGCAGUCAAUUCCAGUAGUCUCCUCCUUCCCAUUGAUGUGUCGUUCACUGAGCCACUUUCCCUCCCUCUAACACGGGUCCGAAACUUAGUUUGGUAGUUUCUCCACUUGAUACACCUGGUUCCAUUGAUUCAUUCCUUCAUUACUGGAAACCAAAAGCUAUUAUACUGAUAGAAAGUGAACUGUGGCCAAAUCUUAUCAUGCAUGCUUCCCAAAAUGGUUAAUAGAAGAUUUUGGAGUCAAUGGAAGAGGGGGGAAAAGUAUAGAUGAUCUGAGAUUACAUCUUGCUCACAAACAGUAAUAUUAGGAGUUCACACUACCCUUAUGCAACUGCAAAAUGCAGAAAGUGGAGAAGGAAGGAUAAAAUAUAAUUUUGAGGUCCCAACAUAAGAAGCUUAAGCCGGAAUGGGUGUGUUCAUGUAGCCGUGUCUCAGAUUUUGGUCUAAUGAAGAUAAACAAUAAAGGAAGGGUGAUUUCAUUCAGUGAGAAGUCUAAAGGAGAAGACCUGAAAGCAAUGCAAGUAGAUACGACACUCUUGGGACUUUCAUGGGAAGAGGCUGAAAAGAAACCAUACAUUGCUUUCAUGGGAGUGUAUGUGUUCAAGAAGGACUUACUUCUUAAUCUACUAAGAUAGCAAGCUAAUUAAUUUCAACAAAAUUUAUUUCAUUCAGAUGGCGCUUUGCAACUACAAAUGAAUUUGGAUUAGAAGUCAUUCCUGCAUGUGCUAGUGAGUUUUGCAUUAAGGUUCAGAAUUUGGCAAAUCAAAAGUACAUUAGUGGUCAGUAAAUUAGUGACAUUAUCAAGAUGCUACUGCACCAGCACUUCCAGAUUUUCAAGACAAGCAGAAAAGGAUCAAUGCAAUUGAAGAGGGGCUAUUAUUAUACUUAUUAUUUUUAUACUUCAUAUUAUUAUUACUUCCAUUGUAAUUAUUAUUAUUAAAACCUAUACCCAUUGGUUUUU